This is a long non-coding RNA of Aethalodelphis obliquidens (Pacific white-sided dolphin), 1594 nucleotides long. RefSeq lists it as uncharacterized. The transcript has 2 exons. Lineage: Eukaryota; Metazoa; Chordata; Mammalia; Artiodactyla; Delphinidae. The record is from RefSeq and is a predicted model, not a curated record.
GAUGCUGGUUUUAUCUUAUCCUUUUCUUCUAUACGCAUUCUGAUUCAUAAAUAAUAGGUAGCAUCCUCUUUACCCUCCUUACCCCGUGUCAUCUUGACACCAAUCUCAGAUUAAAAAUUGUUAAAAACAAAGAUAUGCAUUUUUGCCUAUUCCAAGUUGCUGAAGAUAUUUUCAUAAUCUACAUUUACUUUUAGAAGCUUUCUAUGUUUAGCAUUUAAUUUAAUAUCUGCAUAUGUUAUGAAGAAUAAAGUUUCAAUUUUAUCCAAAAAAAAAUAUAUAUAUAUAUGUCUUAUUAAUAGAAGUUUCUAGAAAAGUGCUCCUCAAUAGAACUUCGUGUGGCAACAAGAGCCAUCCAAUCUGCACUGUCCAGUAAGGGGGCAGCUGAGACUUGAAAUGUGCCACUUCCAGACGAUAGAGUAUGUGGCUGCACUUCCUUUGCUGUGAAAUGAGCUCCUUCAUCAGAAGCAGUGCUGUAAGGAGUGUGGUUCUAUGGGUCUGCAGACGGUGCUGACAGAGGCAGAUGGGGAGAGCAAGUCCAUAUCCCGAAUGCGGAGCUGUUCCAGUGGAAUGAUGCCCAGGAUGAAUCUCUGCCUCCACCACUAUAAUCAAGCUGCCGUCAUUUGGCUGGCUUGUCUCCCUGGGAGCAGUGCCACGCUGGGGGCUCAUGGGUGUCUCUGCUGGCCGGUUAACAGCAGCAUUAUCCAUCUCUGCCUUGGUCAGAGGAAGGUCAUACUAUUGAAUAAACAGUGUGGUGGCCGAGCAGAGAAACUGACCAGCAUCCACUUACCGUGUAAUUUUGCCCGCCUUGUUAUUAACAGGCUCCCUGCAGUGGCUCUCCUCUGUGGGCAUUGACAGGAGACACAAGUAUCUUCAGUCUCUGCCCAUCCUGGGAUGUGCCUCUCCUCCAACCUCCCUUGCCCACUUCCAUGUCCCUUAUCAUCCAGCCACCCAUGUCCCUUAUCAUCCAGCCACCCAUGAGUGACAGCCCAGGAAUCAGAGUAGAUCCAUACUUCUGGCCAUUUCUUAUUCCAGACAAAGUGGACAAGAAUUGUAAUGCUCACUGAGAGGCUUGGCCUUCACUUCUGUGCUUCCGAGCUACCCGAGUGGGGCUGUAGUGCUGCAGCUAUUUACUUCCAGGUGGUCUCAGCAUGUCAUGCAGAGCCAUCCACAAACCAGCCUUCAGUGUUUUCUUCUUUAGUCCACUGGCCAUAAAGAGCACCCCCAAGAGGCCAUAGGCAUGGAUUGAGAAAGAGGAAGAGGAAGCAGCAUCAGUUAGUGUUGAAGGGGUCUGAGCCACCCACUCCUGCAACUUACACCCUCUGGAGCUUCCCUCCCAUGCAAUUACCCCACCACCACCAAAAAGAACCAGUGUUCUGACCUCUCUCACUGUAGAUUAGUUUUGCCUAUUUGCACUUCACAUAAAUGUGGUCACAUAGUAUAUACUCUUUGGUGUCUGACUUCUUUCCCUCAACAUAUGGCUGUGAGAUUCAUCCACGUAUUGUAUCUGUCCAUUUAUUCGGGUCUUCCGUAAAGCUUUAAAUAACUUAAAUAUUUUCCCCAUGUAGAUGUUGUGCAUUAAAAAAAUUUCUAGACA